AUACGGAGGGUGCAAGCGUUAUUCGGAAUCACUGGGCGUAAAGGACGCGUAGGCGGGUUGGCAAGUCAGAUGUGAAAUCCUACAGCUUAACUGUAGGACUGCAUUUGAAACUGCUAACCUAGAGUAUGGGAGGGGGAGAUGGAAUUAGUGGUGUAGGGGUAAAAUCCGUAGAUAUCACUAGGAAUACCGAAAGCGAAGGCGAUCUCCUGGAACAUAACUGACGCUAAGGCGUGAAAGCGUGGGGAGCAAACAGGAUUAGAUACCCUAGUAGUCC
Molecule: ribosomal RNA, 274 nt
Filed under: uncultured bacterium
Lineage: Bacteria
Description: partial 16S ribosomal RNA
Rfam family: Bacterial small subunit ribosomal RNA
Source: RNAcentral